GAUGAACGCUGGCGGCGUGCCUAAUACAUGCAAGUCGAGCGAGCGGACGAGAAGCUUGCUUCUCUGAUGUUAGCGGCGGACGGGUGAGUAACACGUGGAUAACCUACCUAUAAGACUGGGAUAACUUCGGGAAACCGGAGCUAAUACCGGAUAAUAUUUUCAACCGCUUGGUCCAAAAUUGAAAAACGGUUUUGCUGUCACUUAUAGAUGGAUCCGCGCUGCAUUAGCUAGUUGUUAAGGUAACGGCUUACCAAGGCAACGAUGCAUAGCGGACCUGAGAGGGUGAUCGGCCACACGGGAACUGAGACACGGUCGAGACUCCUAGGGGAGGCAGCAGUAGGGAAUCUUACGCGAUGGGCGAAAGCCUGACGGAGCAACGCCGCGUGAGUGAUGAAGGUCUUCGGAUCGUAAAACUCUGUUAUUAGGGAAGAACAUAUGUGUAAGUAACUGUGCACAUCUUGACGGUACCUAAUCAGAAAGCCACGGCUAACUACGUG
RNAcentral lists this ribosomal RNA (497 nucleotides) under uncultured bacterium. RNAcentral describes it as "partial 16S ribosomal RNA". It matches the Rfam family "Bacterial small subunit ribosomal RNA", at positions 28 to 507 of the family's 1533-position model. The record is from RNAcentral.